AUUGAACGCUGGCGGCAUGCCUUACACAUGCAAGUCGAACGGCAGCACGGGAGCAACCCUGGUGGCGAGUGGGGAACGGGUGAGUAAAGUAUCGGAACGUGCCCAGUCGUGGGGGAUAACGUAGCGAAAGUUACGCUCAUACCGCAUACGAUCUAUGGAUGAAAGCGGGGGAUCGCAAGACCUCGCGCGAUUGGAGCGGCCGAUAUCAGAUUAGGUAGUUGGUGGGGUAAAGGCUCACCAAGCCGACGAUCUGUAGCUGGUCUGAGAGGACGACCAGCCACACUGGGACUGAGACACGGCCCAGACUCCGACGGGAGGCAGCAGUGGGGAAUUUUGGACAAUGGGCGAAAGCCUGAUCCAGCCAUGCCGCGUGCAGGAUGAAGGCCUUCGGGUUGUAAACUGCUUUUGUACGGAAUGAAAAGGUUUGGGCUAAUAAGCUGAGCUCAUGACGGUACCGUAAGAAUAAGCACCGGCUAACUACGUGCCAGCCGCCGCAGUAA
RNAcentral lists this ribosomal RNA (500 nucleotides) under uncultured bacterium. Its description in RNAcentral is "partial 16S ribosomal RNA". It matches the Rfam family "Bacterial small subunit ribosomal RNA", at positions 30 to 523 of the family's 1533-position model. The record is from RNAcentral.